RNAcentral lists this ribosomal RNA (544 nucleotides) under uncultured archaeon. Its description in RNAcentral is "bacterial SSU rRNA". It matches the Rfam family "Archaeal small subunit ribosomal RNA", at positions 457 to 997 of the family's 1478-position model. The record is from RNAcentral.
GUCAGCAGCCGCGGUAACACCGGCGGCCCGAGUGGUGAUCGUGAUUAUUGGGUCUAAAGGGUCCGUAGCCGGUUUGGUCAGUCCUCCGGGAAAUCUGAUAGCUCAACUAUUAGGCUUUCGGGGGAUACUGCCAGACUUGGAACCGGGAGAGGUAAGAGGUACUACAGGGGGUAGGAGUGAAAUCUUGUAAUCCCUGUGGGACCACCUGUGGCGAAGGCGUCUUACCAGAACGGGUUCGACGGUGAGGGACGAAAGCUGGGGGCACGAACCGGAUUAGAUACCCGGGUAGUCCCAGCCGUAAACGAUGCUCGCUAGGUGUCAGGCAUGGCGCGACCGUGUCUGGUGCCGCAGGGAAGCCGUGAAGCGAGCCACCUGGGAAGUACGGCCGCAAGGCUGAACUUAAAGGAAUUGGCGGGGGAGCACAACAACGGGUGGAGCCUGCGGUUUAAUUGGACUCAACGCCGGACAACUCACCGGGGGCGACAGCAAUAUGUAGGCCAAGCUGAAGACUUUGCCUGAAUCGCUGAGGAGUGGUGGUGCAUGG